This 253-nucleotide ribosomal RNA is filed under the name uncultured bacterium. Its description in RNAcentral is "partial 16S ribosomal RNA". It matches the Rfam family "Bacterial small subunit ribosomal RNA", at positions 524 to 776 of the family's 1533-position model. The record is from RNAcentral.
UACGAAGGGGGCUAGCGUUGUUCGGAAUUACUGGGCGUAAAGGGCGCGUAGGCGGUCUUAUAAGUUUGGUGUGAAAGCCCUGGGCUUAACCUGGGAACUGCAUUGGAUACUGUAAGACUUGAGGCCGAGAGAGGGAAAUGGAAUUGCGAGUGUAGAGGUGAAAUUCGUAGAUAUUCGCAAGAACACCAGUGGCGAAGGCGAUUUCCUGGCUCGGUACUGACGCUAAGGCGCGAAAGCGUGGGGAGCAAACAGG